UUGGUUUACAGACACGUCUGCCAGAGAUUCUGGAACCUUUCCUACCAGCUGCACGCAAGUAAAUUUGACUGACACAAUCAUAUGUCUUCCUAAAAAGUUGGCUUCCUCACUGCUAAUAAUAGGCUUCCCAGGAUGGACUCUAGACACCAUGACCUUCUACUUUAGGUGAGGUGGGAGAGUGUCAAUUGUGGUCGCCCAAGCUUUCCAUCUCAAGCUUUCGCUCAAGAAAAGCAGCAAACUCACCAGCAGCUUGGUCUCGUUCUAUACUAAAUUUUCAAAAUGACCUGUCUGUGACAAUGGAGACCACAGAGGCUCAAGAGGUGCAGCCAAUACUUCAAAUAACACAAAUGUUACAGGUGCUUCACACAGGGUGCUUCUGAUGGCAACAAGGGGGCAUGAUUCAGAUAAAGCUGGAGGAAUUUGACCUAGGAUCUUGUGCUCGAGGUCUACAUUUGGAAACAUUCCCCAUAGAGAUGGCAUCCGAAGUUCUGAGUGAAGUAUUUGAUUUAUUUGGUCAACAACAACAAGAAAAAACAUGGAUCUUACCCUGUAGCCCAGGAACUUGGAGUACCCGUCCUUUCUCAGCUUCCUUGGGGUAGAGAUUCAUUUUACACCUUGUCUGUCAAGAUCAUAGACACUUGCCAGAUAUAUGAAGAAGGAUAUAUGAAGCCUAUGAGAAGCCAAGGCACAACCAGCAGAGAAUGAUUACCGAACUUUCUACUCUAAAUAAAUGAAUACAGUGGAGGACAAAUAAUUGAAGACUGAGAGAUGCAAAAAUAUUAAUAUCAAAAAUUGCAAAGACCACUGAGAUGUAAGGAAACCUUGGAAUGGGCCCGACAGCUGGAGGCUCUUCCGUGAAACAUCUGGAACCAGUGACUCAGAUGCUGUCACAUCCACAGGUGAUGUUUUGCUUUCUGUAUGUUUUAGCAAUUUAAAAAUAUUUCAUCUCUUAUGUAUAUUAGUUUUCUUAUUACUGCAGCUGGAAUUUCUAUACAGGGCAAAAACAUGUUUACUAAGUGCUCUUGAGAUUAACAUAGCACCACUUUUAGUUAUCCUGAUGAGAUUUCUCAAUUGUCUUUCUAAAAAUCCCCAGGAUGUCUCUCUUUGGCCUUGCUUGGGAGACCUUAGAAUUGUUAAGAGUUGAAUUGUGUGUUUCUACACGAUAUUUAAUUUUCAGGUUGUAUCUAUGAGUGUGACCUUACUUUUUGUAUAUUACUAACUUGAUGAUUUUAUUCAAAUGGGUCCUAAUCCACUAAGACUGAUGUCCUUGUAAAAAUAAGAGAUUUGGAUACAGAAACAGAAGAGUACGUGGAGGAGAAUAUCAUGUUAAGGUGGGGGCAGAGAGAGUAUGAUGCACCUACAAACAAAGGAAUGCAAACUAAUUCCAGCACACUACCAGGAGCUAGGAUGGCCUGAGCAGAAAUUAGCAUGAUGGAAACGACACACCUGAAUUAUUUACUAUCUCAACAUUUACAAAAACAAGAACCUGUUGACCCCUGAUCAAGAUGAAAAAACUGAGAGUUGAAAAAGGCUGAAAGUUUUUCUCAGGGAUGCUGCAGAACUGAUGUCUGAUCUUCUGGCUCCUGGACCAGUGCCCUUUCUAUUGUGCAGCCCUAGUUGUCAGCAAGAGAAAGACCAGCAAGAGCAGUUUUAUUGUUCCAGCAUGCUGGGGUCACCCUGCACACGAAGGAGCGAGAAAACACAACCAUGCGCAGCCCAUUUGGUUCUUGCUGAUACUUCCAUAUCUUCUUGAUGUAUACAUAUAUUCGUAUUGAAAGACCCCCGAAGGGAGACCCUCACUCAAGCCUCGGGACAGCCGCGGAC
This is a long non-coding RNA of Mus musculus (house mouse), 1824 nucleotides long. RefSeq annotates it as predicted gene, 34346. The record is from RefSeq and is a predicted model, not a curated record. The transcript has 9 exons. NCBI's taxonomy places the organism in Eukaryota, Metazoa, Chordata, Mammalia, Rodentia, Muridae.